Molecule: long non-coding RNA, 5582 nt
Filed under: Salmo salar (Atlantic salmon)
Lineage: Eukaryota; Metazoa; Chordata; Actinopteri; Salmoniformes; Salmonidae
Description: lncRNA (ENSSSAG00000098222.1)
Source: RNAcentral
CGCACCCCCUACAGGUGGAUAUUAAGGGUAUUGGAGUGUGUCUCUGUGGCUCACAGGCUCUGCCCCCUAGGAGCAGAGGGGGUGGUGAAAGUAUAAAACCUCUUGGGCUCCCUCCAGCCAGACUGUAGACCUACUAGAAACUAUAAAGACACCUGAGUGUCGCCCCACUGGCUAAACUCUCCCGUCACAAUGCUGUCACGAAAGUGGACUGUUCAUUUGAUCUUUGCUUUGGCUGGUCUUGCUCUCUCAGACCACGUUACUGAUGGAGAUACCAGCGUGGAAACCACAGGCACUCCUGAUGCCCCUGACGCCCCAGGCAAGUUCUGCAUGCUGUGCUGUACUGAAGACUGUAUCGAGGAAAGCAGCCAUGUAGGGAGCCAAGGUUGUUGGAUGCCCUGUAUGGAGGCAUGUUGGAAGGAAUGUAUGGAGCCCUAUAUGGAUCUCUGUAUGGAGCCCUGUACACAGGAUUCGUCGAAGGUGUGCAACAGUAAGGGGGACAUUAAUGAGGACAGUAAGGGGGAUGGUAAGGGGGACGGUAAGGGGGACGGUAAGGGAGACGGUAAGGGAGGCAGUAAGGGAGACGGUAAGAAGGACAGUAACGAGGACACUAAGAGGGACGGUAAGGGGGACGGUAAGGGAGGCGGUAAGGGGGACGGUAAGGGGGACGGUAAGGGAGGCAGUAAGGAGGACAGUAAGGGAGACGGUAAGAAGGACAGUAAGGGGGACGGUAAGGGAGGCGGUAAGGAAGGCAGUAAGGAGGACGGUAAGGGAGGCAGUAAGGAGGACAGUAAGGGAGGCGGUAAGGAAGGCAGUAAGGAGGACGGUAAGGGAGGCAGUAAGGAGGACAUUAAUGAGGACAGUAAGGGAGACGGUAAGAAGGACAGUAAGGAGGACGGUAAGGGAGGCGGUAAGGAAGGCAGUAAGGAGGACGGUAAGGGAGGCAGUAAGGAGGACAGUAAGGGAGGCGGUAAGGAAGGCAGUAAGGAGGACGGUAAGGGAGGCAGUAAGGAGGACAUUAAUGAGGACAGUAAGGGGGACGGUAAGGGGGACGGUAAGGGAGACGGUAAGGGAGGCAGUAAGGGAGACGGUAAGAAGGACAGUAACGAGGACGGUAAGAGGGACGGUAAGGGGGACGGUAAGGGAGACGGUAAGGGAGGCGGUAAGGAAGGCAGUAAGGAGGACGGUAAGGGAGGCAGUAAGGAGGACAUUAAUGAGGACAGUAAGGGGGAUGGUAAGGGGGACGGUAAGGGAGGCAGUAAGGAGGACAGUAAGGGAGGCGGUAAGGAAGGCAGUAAGGAGGACGGUAAGGGAGGCAGUAAGGAGGACAUUAAUGAGGACAGUAAGGGGGAUGGUAAGGAAGUCGAUAAGGGAGACAAUAAGGGGGACAGUAAGGGGGACAGUAAGAGGGACGGUAAGGAAGACAGUAAGAGGGACGGUAAGGAAGUCGAUAAGGGAGACAGUAAGGGGGACAGUAAGGAGGUUAGUAAGGGAGACAGUAAGGGGGACAGUAAGGGGGUUAGUAAGGGAGACAGUAAGGGGGACAGUAAGGAGGACAGUAAGAGGGACGGUAAGGAAGUCGAUAAGGGAGACAAUAAGGGGGACAGUAAGGGGGUUACUAAGGGAGACAGUAAGGGGGAUAGUAAGGGAGCCGGUAAGGAAGUCGAUAAGGGAGACAGUAAGGGGGAAAGAAAAAGACAGUAAGUGUGAGUGUAGUCUAACGUUCCUUAACCCUCUCUUGGUCCUCAAAAUGGGGAAGGUGUCUACAGAGAUACAAUUGAAUUAUUAUGCUGUUUUGAUGUACAUAACAUUUUUGCCCACUUUUUGACUGUUUUCUUGUUGUUUUUAAUUUCCUGAUGUUUUGAGAUCCUCUCUAGUGUUUACAGAACAUAAGGGUCUGAUUGGUGAAAUCAAUGCUAGCAGUAAUAUACAGAAUGACAAUGUAUGAGAAGAAAUGUGUCCAAUUCCAAUGAUAAUGAGUACAUGAUGCGUGAGAUGUUCAUUAAAGAAUCAUUUCUGUGAUGUGGAUUUUUGCCACUCUGCACAACCUGACUCCAGGGCUAUGCCUCUCCCCCUUCAGAAGAAGGCCUCUGUCAGGUUUAUUAUGGGUUUUAUGGUAUAAAAUCAUGUUUUAUAAUGAACUUCACUGCCUUAGUUUGAGUAUUUUGAUUUCUCGAUCUCUUUGUUUUAAGGUACUUAUUAUGUUGCAUUUAUUCAAUAUAAUCACACAUGAGAAUCAAAGUUGUAACACUUAAGAUAAGAACGAUUGACAGGUAACAUGUUUUUUGUUUAUGGUUGUUUAUUGAUUGUUUAUGCUGUUCAGGUUUUCCCCUUCUGCUAUACAAAGAAUGUUAUGCCUGUUCAGUGCAUUUACCUUCCUCUAGUCAUUUCCUGGGGAAGGAGUUUUGGUUCAUGGAAGACUGUUCGCUCUCCCACCGCCUGAUGUGCCCCGUUACAGUGAUGGAUGAAGAGGCACGUCUGUUAAUCCACUAAAGAAAAAACAACCGAAAUUCGUCGGGGCAUGGACUCUACAAGGCGUCGAAAGCUUUCGACAAGGAUGCUGGUCCAUGUUGACUCCAAUGCUUCCCACAGUUGUGUAAAGUUGGCUGGAUGUCCUUUGGGUGAUGAACCAUUCUUGAUACACACGGGGAAACUGUUGAGUGUGAAAAACCCAGCAGCGUUGCAGUUCUUGAAACAAACUGGUGCGCCUGGUACCUACUACCAUAUCCCGUUCAAAGGGACUUAAUUCAUUUGUCUUGCCCAUUCACCCUCUGAAUGGCACACAUACACAAUCCAUGUCUCAAUUGUCUCAAGGCUUUAAAAUCCUUCUUUAACCUGUCUCCUCCCCUUGAUCUACACUGAUUGAAGUGGAUUUAACAAAUGAUAAGGGAUCAUAGCUUUCACCUGGAUUCACCUGGUCAGUCUAUGUCAUGGAAAGAGCAGGUGUUCUUAAUGUUUUGUAUACUCAAUGUAUUUCCACACUACGAGGUUGGAAUAAUACUGUAUUAAUAACACUGAAUAAUACUGUAUUAAUAACACUGAAUAAUACUGUAUUAAUAAUACUGAAUAAUACUGUAUUAAUAAUACUGAAUAAUACUGUGAAAAUAAUAAUGUCGCCUGACAUUUCAGCCUGUUUUGUGGGAUGGAGAUUUGGCCUGCUUGGGGACAUCACUAGGUGGUAAAUUAGUUAAUAGUUUUCAGUUUUCUCCUCCCCACUCAGACCACUCUCAGACAAUCCUACACUCUCAGAAAAAUGGGUCCCAAAAGGGUUCUUUGGCUGUCCCCAUAGGAGAACCUUUUGGUUCCAGGGAGAACCGUUUUUGGUUCCAUGUAGAAACAUGUGGAAGUGGUCCAACAUGGAACCCAAAUGGGUUCUACCUGGAAUCAAAAGGGUUCUACCUAGAACCAAAAAGUGUUCUUCAAAGAGUUAUCCUAUGGGGACAGCCGAAGAACCCUUUUAGGUUCUCGAUAGCAUUUUUUCCCCCAAGAGUGUAACAAAAUUCUUGCUUGAGAAAUUGCUCUUGGCUAAGAAACUAUUUUUGUUUCUUUUUGACCAUUUUAAUUGAAAACAACAACAGUAAGGUACUUUAUUAUUACCUAGAAAUGAUUUGAUAUUGAGAUAAAAACGUUACCAUUGGACCUUUAAGAUAGUAUUCAGUCAUUGUAGGUUUGCUAGGUUUCUGCAGGUUGUGGGUUACUACAGUUUUCCUCUCGCUUUCAUAUGAUGCAUUGCUGUCUCAGUCCUUGACAGAAAGCUCAAUUGACACUUUUGUUCUUCUAACCGAUAACGGCUGCUACAUUUGAAAAAUAACUCCUACUGGCUCAGUUCAACAUUCAUUUUAAAGUUAUGAGUAACAUAAGGUCCUUUAUACAAAAUGAAGUGUUCAUACAAUGUCUUUGAUUAUGUAUAAUCUACAUUGGUUGGAAGAAUGGUAAAAUAAUUAUAUAGACAUAAUGAAAAUGUAAUUUCAAUAUGUACACAGGGGGAAAAUCUAAUAAAGAUUGAGUUGUCAGAUAAUUUUUGGGGGGCAAGUUUGUUGGGAUAAAAAGCAGUAUGUGUGUGUUUUUGUGAAUGUGUAAAGGAUGUGCUGAUGAAAUGAGAAGAAAAUAAGAAGCCUACUCACCGACUACCAAGACAUUACAAUAAUAUCAACUAUAAAUAAUAUGAUAAUAUAAUGAACAAACAAAAUAUCAUGUCAUAACAAUAAUCAAUGGAGUUACUAGAAUGUGAUACAUUGACAAUUGAAAUACAGACACACAUGUCAAGUUGAAUAGUAGCGUACUAAGCACACAGCCAAGACAACGCAGGAGUGGCUUCAGGACAAGUCUCUAAAUGUCCUUGAGUGGCCCAGCCAGAGCCCGGGCUUGAACCCGAUCAAAAAUCUCUGGAGAGACCUGAAAAUAGCUGUGCAGCGACGCUCCCCAUCCAGCCUGACAGAGCUUGAGAGGAUCUGCAGAGAAGAAUGGGAGAAACUCCCCAAAUACAGGUGUGCCAAGCUUGUAGCGUUAUACCCAAGAAGACUCAAGGCUGUAAUCGCUGCCAAAGGUUCUUCAACAAAGUACUGAGUAAAGGGUCUGAAUACUUAAAUAAAUGUGAUAUUUCAGUUUUUUAUUUGAAAUAAAUUAGCAAAAAUGUAAAAAACCUGUUUUUGCUUUGUCAUUAUGGAGUAUUGUGUGUAGAUUGAUCAGGGAACAUUUUAGAAUAAGGCUGUAACCUAACAAAAUGUGGAAAAAGUGAAGGGGUCUGAGUACUUUCCGAAGGCACUGUAUAAGAACAAUGCUAAAGAGUCUGCAGCCAAGAGAUGUUAAGGUCAGAAUGUUGUGGUUCUACUAAGAUUAUCUGUAAAGAAAGCUACUGUGGGAGUGUUUGUUUGAGUUCAGUUUGUCCCUAGCUGUAUUAUUAUCGAUAUCAUUUUUGUUUUAUGUUCUUUUAUUAAUCUCUUUUAUCGCUUUCUGUUUAUUUCUUUAUGAUCUACUUUUGUCACGUCCUGACCAGUAUAAGGGUUAUUUGUUAUUGUAGUUUGGUCAGGACGUGGCAGAGGGUAUUUGUUUUAUGUGGUUCGGGGUUGUGGUUUAUGUAGUAGGGUGUUUGAUUUAUUAUUUCCGGGUUUUGGUCUAUGUUCCAUGUAUAGCUGAUGGCCUUACAGGACUGUUUAUUCGUCGGUGUGUUUCUUUUGGUGUACAUGUUUAUUUUGGUUUUUCCUUCUUUACGUAAUAAAAGAAGAUGAGUACACAUAUACCCGCUGCGUUUUGGUCUCAAUCCGACGACAACCGUUACAACUUUAUUUUAAUGCUUUACUGCACUUUAACUAAAGUUUGAUUUGAUUUGAAUUUCAUUCCUCCUAUAGAGAUGAAUUACAGACUGAUAAAUGACCAAGUGAGAGCAACUCCACUCCACUGCCAGUAAUUUCCAAAACAUCUCACCAUAUCCAAUUACUACAGAGAAUGACUCCUUAAGGAGGAUCAGAGGUGGCUCGUGAUCACCAGGACAAAAAGUCUUCACAGGAUUUGAGAUCAAUUUGAAAUGGCAUGGUAUUGUAACACGAGAAGUGUGUGUGUGUGUGUGUGUGUGUGUGUGUGUGUGU